RNAcentral lists this long non-coding RNA (2579 nucleotides) under Homo sapiens (human). Its description in RNAcentral is "non-protein coding lnc-FAM20C-3:28". Lineage: Eukaryota; Metazoa; Chordata; Mammalia; Primates; Hominidae. The record is from RNAcentral.
AUUAAUCGUCCUUAUAUGUACUCGGGAACGUUCGUCCUUUAGGUUUUCUCCUGGCGCAUGGGCGCCGCCAAUCAUUUCGGGGCUUAUUUUGGUUCUAAAGCCCGGGGCAGCCAGGCCUCCCUGCCUGGCCUCGGCGGGGACGCGGGACCUGGGGCCCCGGACCGGGCCUAACCGCCCUGGCCGGUCCCCACUGAUGGUGGCGGUCGGUCCUGAUCGUCCUGAUGGCAGCGACCAGGCUGGACUCGGGCUGUGCAGGGGCGAGGGGAGCAGGGCGGGGUGACGCCCGGAGAGCGGCCUGGAGAGCGCGUGCUUCAGAAGGCGUGGGCACCCUGUCCCCUUUGCAGAUGGGGAUGCAGGCCCUGGUGGCGGUGGAGGGGAGAUGGGGGCAGGGACGUUGCCGGGCAGAGGAAGCUGGCCAUUCCUGGGGGAUUCCUGGGAGCCAUGUGGGAGAGGCGUGAGGAAGUGAGACCUUCACCCCGAGACAGGUCCUGACACACCCUCUGGUGCCUCUACUCAAGUGAGAAGUUUGGCUGCUGUAACUGACUGGGAAGCUUAAAAUAACAGACAAUCAUCUCUCACAUUUAUGGGGACUGGGAAGUCCAAGACCAAGUUGCCAUCUGGGGAGGGCCUGUUCCUCACAGCGCCUUCCAGCUCAGGCCUCGUUUAUAAGGGCACUCAAGCCUUCCACGACAACGGGUCCUCAUGACUUACUCACCUCGGAAAGCCCCACCCCCAAGACCAUCACAUUGUGGGUGAUGGCAGAGCAUAAGGUGCCUUCCCCACAUGCUCGGGUUGGCCCAGCGUCUCACGCUAGCAGCUACGUGGAAUAGUUAUUUUUUCUGGAGAACUCUGGGACCCCUCUGAUGUCUUGGAGCACCCACACAGGCCGUUCACUGUGCACGCUGUGAGGCUGUCGUCUUGGAGCACCCACACAGGCCGUUCACUGUGCACGUGGUGAGGCUGUCCUCUGGGGAGUUCUGCUGUUGUAUGGGUUCUGUCUGUGUCAAUGUCCCAGCGGGAACGCAGGGCACACUAGCGUCAUCCCCAGAGGGCUUGGUAAGGGGACUGUUUGCAGAGACAUAGGCAGAGGGCUGGAAAACUACCAAAAAAGUGCAGUGUUCUGGACCUAAUAAUAGCAGAGCUAUUCUCACCCUGGUCUGAAGGCAGGAGGGGAGGAGCAGUUAAUGGAUUCUGGAAGUCAGGUUGCACAGAGUCACCUUGAAAGAUGCCAUGACCUUCACCGAGGGCCAGACAGAGACUAAGAUGACCCCAUAGGAGAAUAAGACCUAGACCUCAUCCUCCUGCCUCCUGCCAGUCCCUGCCAGGGGUCGCCAAUGGCAAAACAGGACUGGAAGCCAGAGGCCAUGGAAGCCCAUGGAUGAAGUCCACAGGCCAGCCUCCCCGAGAGCAGCCUGGACGGUCCGCAGGAGACGUCUCCUGUCUUAGGCGUCCCACGCCGCGUGCUCCUGUUCAGCCCUGCCGAGGUGGAAGCUUGGAGUGGCUCACGGUGGAUGCAUUGACGCUGCAGACGCCAGCAAGUGCUACAAACCAGAGCUGGCCUUUAACUCAGACUGAUGGAGAAGGUGUUAAUAAUGCAGAUUAGACUUAAAAGUGUUGAAGCCAUUGCACUGUGAACAGCAAAAAAAUUGAAGAACUCUUCUGGCAUUUAAAAACAAUUACUCAGUUCAGCAGAGAAGUCACUGACAAACGAGAUCACACUGACUGCUUUGUCGUUUUGGUUUUGUCUUACUCAUUAAUGCAAAUAAGAACAUUCACUAGCAUCUGUGUCGGGCCUACCCUCCCUGGUCAAAUACAGCUACAGUCUCCCUGCAGAAACGAGUUUUCCAGAAAUGAGCCGAUGUUUUCUGCGAGAAUCAAUUGGUCAUAUACAAUUUACAAAAAUGAGUACUGUAUACUAUAUUUGUAAACUGUACACUGCAGAUGCUUUAUUUCACUGAAAUUUAUAAUACACUUAUCCAUGUAUAUGCAUGCAUGCAUUUUUGUUCCUGAGAUCCAGCUGUGAAAUGUUUACCAGCACAUAAAUUACCAGCACAUGCUCUUUUUUGUUAACCUACUAGGUAAAAUCUUCAUUUAUUACAUCAAAUUCUUGUAGUUUUUGUAUUGCAAUUAUGCAGAUAUUGAUUAUCGCAGUAUUACUGCAAUUAUACAGAUACCACAAUUUCAGAUAUUGAUCAGCGUGUUCAGUUGGUUUCUAAGGAGGUUUACUUACCUCAUGGUACACCUAGUUUGCAUAGUUUGAUUAUAUUUAACUCUUAUGCUAAUUGGGGGAAGUCAUUGAUUUAUUGGACAGAUGCACCUGUGGUCUUCCCUGAGCACAUCCUGGCCAAGGAUGCUGCCCCCAGGAGAUUUGAGAAGUCCUGUAAGGAUCAUAUCAGUAUUUUCAAAUACUUAUAGAAAAGCCAGAGGGAUUGACCCAGAAUUACCAAUAUAAGCUUGACCCUGAGAUAACAAUGCCAUUUUAUGUUUGCAUGCAUAAAACCAAUGCAAGAGGCUGAUGACUCCAGAUCCCUUAUAUAAGCCAAUAAAAAGUAGUUUCAUUUUUUAUUUCAUUUAAAAAA